Oncorhynchus tshawytscha (Chinook salmon) is the source of this 822-nucleotide long non-coding RNA. Lineage: Eukaryota; Metazoa; Chordata; Actinopteri; Salmoniformes; Salmonidae. The record is from Ensembl.
GAGGAAGAGGAGGUCAGAGAGAGAGAGAGGAAGAGGAGGUCAGAGAGAGAGAGAGGAAGAGGAGGUCAGAGAGAGAGAGAGAGGAAGAGGAGGUCAGAGAGAGAGAGAGAGUAAGAGGAGGUCAAAGAGAGAGAGAGAGAGAGAGAGGAAGAGAAAGGCAGAGGAGGUCAAAGAGAGAGAGAGAGGAAGAGAAAGGCAGGAGGUCAAAGAGAGGGAGGAAGAGGAGGUCAAAGAGAGAGAGGAAGAGGAAGGCAGAGGAGGUCAAAGGGAGAGAGAGAGAGGAAGAGGAAGUCAAAGAGAGAGAGGAAGAGGAAGGAAGAGAAAGGCAGAGGAGGUCAAAGAGAGAGAGGAAGAGGAGGUCAAAGAGAGCUAGGAAGAGGAAGGCAGAGGAGGUCAAAGAGAGAGAGAGAGAGAGGAAGAGGAGGUCAGAGAGAGAGAGAGAGAGGAAGAGGAGGUCAGAGAGAGAGAGAGAGGAAGAGGAGGUCAGAGAGAGAGAGAGAGGAAGAGGAGGUCAAAGAGAGAGAGAGAGAGAGAGAGAGGAAGAGAAAGGCAGAGGAGGUCAAAGAGAGAGAGAGAGGAAGAGAAAGGCAGGAGGUCAAAGAGAGAGGGAGGAAGAGGAGGUCAAAGAGAGAGAGGAAGAGGAAGGAAGAGGAGGUCAAAGAGAGAGAGAGAGAGGAAGAGAAAGGCAGAGGAGGUCAAAGAGAGAGAGAGAGAGAGAGAGGAAGAGAAAGGCAGAGGAGGUAAAAAGAGAGAGAGAGAGAGAGGAAGAGGAGGUCAAAGAGAGAGAGGAAGAGGAAGGAAGAGGAGGUCAAAGAGAGAGAG